This 385-nucleotide unclassified non-coding RNA is filed under the name Artemisia scoparia. RNAcentral's name for it is "partial external transcribed spacer". The record is from RNAcentral. Lineage: Eukaryota; Viridiplantae; Streptophyta; Magnoliopsida; Asterales; Asteraceae.
GAGUGGUGUUUGGUUUGUUACGUGUGGUUGGCUGCGGCGUUUGCAACAACUUCCAUGCUCUCAGACCUCUUCAGUUGUGCGGCAAGGCUUGUAUCGCCUUGAGCGUAUCGUGGGUUUUCUGUGUUGGCUACCUAAUCGACGGUAUCGUUUGGAUUGAUCAAAGUGUGAUUUCGUCUUCCGUCGCGUUUGCGGCGUGAGGUGAACCUUGACGCGGUCUCUUUGAUCCAUCUCGUCGAAGCAUAUGCUUUGACGUUGUGGCACAUUGGGCAUUGCUUGGUCUCUUGUGUACGGAACACGUAGCGGGCAUGGAUCUAACGAUUCUUGUUUGCCCUCAUAUUAGCGUAACGCUUCUCAAACACGACUUGCAUCGCGUUUUAGCUCGUAC